GCAGCUUCUGGAAAACGGCGCGCCGGCCCCCCGGGGCAGGAAGAAGGGCCAAAGAAGAGGGGGAAGGGGCUAGGACUUCCUGAGCACCAGCCUCCGAAGGCCUGAGGGAAGGGGAUUUCAGUUCUGAGUCGAAAAGUGAAGACCACUUCUGGGCAAAAUUGUAAAGCAGAGGAAGGGAAGAAAAUGGAAGAAGCAAGAAGCAAGGAUUGAGAAGAACUGCCAUGUGCCAGAUCAGCCCCCCUUGAAGUAAGAAAUGUCAUCAGGGUACUAAGAGAUAAAUAAGAAUGGAAACUUCUAGAAGAAAGAAAUCCACUAAGAAUCACAAGAACAGGAAAAUGAACAUCCUUCCAUUAGAAUCGCAGUCCGAAGACGACACUUCAGCAACUGUUACUGCAUUUGGCUUUGACCGGGUCAAAGGAAUUGAGCCCAUCCUCUCCUGCCUGACAAGUACCAUAUUAUCUGAAGCCCCAAAUACCCAGUGCUGAACUUUCCCUAUUUCUACUGAUAAAAUCACCAAGAGGUUAUCGUGUCCAGCAACAGCGAAAUCCCUUGUAAAGGAGAGGAAACAAAAUUUGAAGAAAGAAAUGUAAAGUUUCCAAGGGUGACAAUUCAUGGAAUUUAGGAAUUGCUGGGACUGAGUUGUUUCAUUUAAAGCUCCAAUAUUUGUUAAGAUUUUGCCACCUUCAUCUCUGCGACAGACUAUAUGAUGCAGAGAUGUGCACUGAAACCAAUUACGUGGAAUGGAAAAUUCUGCCUUUGAAGUUGGUCUAGUCACUGCAAAAUGUACCAAGUCUGUUCAAGUGCGUGGGCUUCCAGAGCAUAAGUAGCACAAACAUCAGAGGUUUUUUAAACCUGUUCUAUCUAGUUUAAUAGGUCAGAACUUAAAGUUUGAUUAAAUUUUGCAAUCCCCUGUUACCUGAUUUCUGUUCAGCCUAGACUAAUUACUUUCAGGACCUUGCUAAUUGGGAUGACUGGCAAAGACAAUUUGUCAUGUGGCUCAUUUUUCUUAAUAUUUUUCAAUAUUUAGUGCUCAAUGUUUAUAAAGUUAUAGUAAAUUAGAUUAGUAUUCACAAAUGUCAACAUGCAGUUCCCACAAUUUAGCAUUUCAAGGUCAUUGUUGACCCUCUAAUCUUCGAUAGACCAUCUGAGAUUACGGUACUAAACUCCAUAUGUAAUUAUAACUUGGCCACAGAAAAGUUUUUCUCCAUGGGGAUUCCAGGUAAAUUGUUCUUUCUUGGCAUUCUUUUUGCCCAUGAAAUGAGGAGAACUAAAGUAAUUCUUCUUUUAAAUUGAGAUGCCCCUUGAGGUGGCAACAUCUUAACAAUGUGGGCAUAGCAAUCAGUGGAGAAAAAUGACCAAUAAGAGAUGUUAGUCUGAAAAGUUUGGAAAACAUAUUUUUAUACAAGCCUACAACUGAAAUCAGAUCCCAAACUUCCCACGCGGUACCAGCUACAUGUCCCUCAAGUCAAGGGGGAUGGUGUGACCAUCCGUCACUCUUAAACAUCACAGUGUCCUAGGGCUCCAGAACGUGAGACCCAAAGCCUAAAUCUGUUGGGAUAUUUAUGCUACCUGCUCAAUGAUAGUCCUCCUGGAAAAGCAGGUAAUUGAUAAGUGAAUGAACCAGUGAGGAUACUCACAAACCUCAAACAUGGAUUUAAUAAAACCAAAUGACUUCUGAGGCUUUGCUUUCUGCCUGGUAAUUUACAUCCAGGAUCUCAUUUAAUCCUAACACUACUGUAAUACUACUUGCCCAAAGAGUCUAGUUCAGGCUAAAUCGUUAGGUGGAAGUUUGUGAAUGUGGCUGUGCACCUAUUUUUGCUCUCUAUUGCGUUCAGCCUUGAACACUCGGAGGCAGGCAGUAUACAGGCUCUGGUUCCUGGAGCCUGUAUUCCACUGUGGGGGCCUGGGGCAGUGGGGUGUGUGCAGAUUACAAAGCAACAUUGAUGGAAGUACACGGUGAGAAGUCCCUGGAUAAUGAGGUGUUCAAAUUGCUUUGUGAAUAGUGGGAGGCAUUCUGCGUGGGGUUUUAGGGGUAGUAGAAAGAUCUGGAAGGCUUCACAGAAGGUGACGGUUAAGUUGGACUUUAGAAGACUGAAAAGGAAUUUAUCAACAGAAAAGAUGGGGUAGCAUGGGUCAUUUUAGGGAGAUGUUCAACAACAUUUUGUGUGUCAGAAGUGAGGGGACUUCUGCCCUUACUCAGGGUGGUUGGCAUCAGAAUUGCAUUGCAAUGAUCAAGCUGAGAAAUAAAUAGGAGAUGAUUAUCAUAUAUAAGACAUUUUACUCCAUGAGGGAAACUGUAGAAAAUAAAGAUGCCAUUUUCAAGGUAGCUAAAAUCAGAAGAACUAAGAAGCAUAAUAUUGAUAAAAUCUUUUAACUUUAACCUGGAGUCAGUCGCUUGCUCAUCUUUGUUCAUAUUCAUUUGUGUGGUUCAUUGUCUAAGCAGUGCCCGUUGAAAGCCAUGCAGGCAUUUGCAGGCACUCCAGGUUUAUAAGUAGCUAAACCAUCAAAUAAAUGUGACUUCAUCCAGACAGAAAUACCAAGCCCACAAGAUGUAUUUGUCUGCCUUCUCUCAGCUUAAUGCCUAACUUGUUAAAAAUUGUGCAGCAAGAUGCUAGAUGUUAAAGACACUCCUUGGUUAUAUCAUAAAUGAUUUUAUUCAAUCAACCAUUCGACAUAUAUGUAUUGCCCAUCUACCAUGUGUCCAGCAAAGGACAAGCGAGAGUGAAAAGAAUGCAACACUUGGCCACAGAAGUUUCCUGAAGCUGUGUUUGCUAGCUCUGAGACCUUCAGCAAAGCAUUUGCCCUUUCCAUAAGAUGAGGAGAUUCUGUAAGAUAAGGAGAUCACAUUAUUGGGAUUAUCAAAGUCCUGUCCCAUUCUAAAUGCUACUGAUUCCUUGAGUCAGCCUGCAUUUCCUGGGAGACUGAAGCCUAAGCCCCUGUACUUCCCUGUGUGUUUGCCAACUCUCCUGUGAGUCUUCCCUCUUCUCCUUCUCAGCCCCCCCUUCUCGUCCAUAAAUCUGCAUACGAAAGGACCAGACAGCUGUAGCUCUCAACAGCUUUGGUUUUCCUCACCGCCUGUGUCAUCCUGCUUGCUGAAGCUGCUUUUUAAAGGGGCUAAGCCUCCUUUAAACAAUUCUAAAUAUUUUUGAAGUUCUGAACCAGAACAUAACGAGCUUACAAAGAGAUAAAACAGUAGAGUUUUUCUGCAGGUGGUUAAACUAACUAGAGGACUUCUCUGUGGGAGCCGUUCUAUGAUGCAGGCUGAUCACAGACGGACCAGAGCGACACUGGAGGAGGUAGGAUGAUGUUAGGCAGUAAGAGAGGCUGGGGAGGAUGGAGCAUCAUGAAAGGAAGUGGGAGAAAGGGAAAGAAGCCCACCUUAAGAGAGGACAUUCUGCAGGCAACCCGCUCUGCUAGAUGUGCUAUUUAUAUCUAUUUAAAUGUCCCUACACAUCCAAAAAAGAGUUCAUAGUUGUUGUAAGGAACUGAAAGGACAUCACUGCCAGAACAGCAGAGGCUACUGCGGGUCUUGCUAAACAUAAGUCGAAGGUAAAGAAAUAGACAUCCACACAGACACAUCCUGCCAUUCCCUAUUAUAAUUAUUUUCCUGCUAGCCUUCCUCCCACAGCCGAUCUUAAAUUACAUCACUGAUUUAGAGAUUAAUGAGUUGUUCUGCGGCAGCUCAGGUAAGCACACAGCACCAGACCUUUUUUUUUUUUUUUUUUUUUUUUUUUAAUACCAAGAGAAUAAACACAGCAAACUAUGGCAGUAUGGUAACUUUAUAUGAGAUUUCCAUUUCAAAGCCUAAAAACUCAUGGUCCAAGAAUGAGCAAUGUCUCUGACAUGACCUUGAGAAGCCAAAGCCAAAGACUCAUCCCUGCAACUUUUAUACCUCUGCUCCCCUCCAGCUGCUGUAAAUAAUAAGCAUUUUCCUUUGCAAUGGUAAAAUCAAAACACCUCCAAACACUGGCACUUUAAACUUUUGACUCCAAUAUAUUGUGAUGUCUGACCCCUUGUUGAUAUCCGAUUUUCACUUUUUUUUAGUCUUUUGGGUUUCAUUUUAUUAUAAUUCUCAAUGACCUACUUCCUAAAAGAGCAAGGCCAUGGCUGAAAAAAUGGUAUCCUUGGUUAAGAAAAGAAAACGCUGCAGAACUUUAUCAAAGGCAUAAUACUUAGAGCUUUUAAGACAGAUCCAAUUCAGACUCUGUUCACAGGAAAAUAAAAAACGUAGUUAGUCACGUCUGUGCUUCACUUGUAUGAUAACAGAUAUUUUAGAAUUUAGAUUCAUGUAAGUUACAGGCUUCAUGCUUGCUGUCAUCAUUUCAUUAAUCAACAUUCCAUGGAAAAAACCUCUGGGACAGUAGAAAAAGUAUAAUCCUUGGAAUCUAGAGGACUGGAUUUUAGUCCCAGCUCAUCUACUUGCUUUUGGAAUGGAUUAGCAAUGAGAUCCUACUGUGUAGCACUGAGAACUGUGUCUAGUCACUUAUGAUGGAGCAUGAUAAUGGGAGAAAAAAAGAAUGUAUAUGUGUAUGUGUAAUUGGGUCACCAUGCUGUACAGUAGAAAAAAAAUUGUAUUGGGGAAAUAACAAUAAAAACAUUUAAAAAAUAAAUAAAAAUAAAAGUCGUAUAGCACUGGGCAAAUGAAUUGACCUAUAGGGCCCUCAGCUUUCCUUAUCUGUUAAAAAAGAAGGUGGAGAAGGAAAGGGAAAAAAAGAAAGAACAGGAAGGAAAAAAUGAGACAAGGAAGCAAGGGAGGGAGAAAAGUAGACAGGAAUUCAGAAUACCUACAUCAUAGGAUGGAAGUGAGAGUUACAUAAUAUGUUUGAAAGCAGUAUAUAUGAAGCAAAAUGUUACAUAAAUACAGCAUGGUUUGUAAAAAUGAUACUUUAAAUACUGCUACAGUCCUCUGCAUAUUAAAAAAUAUAUAUAUCCAAGAAAUAAGCUAUGCUUUCUAGAAUACUUAACAACAGCAUCACCUUAAGAUAAACUGAAGAAUCUGCACCCCAGGACAAGUGCUAUUUGCUCUUGUUGAGUGGCAGUGUAGAUCUGGCUUUCUAGGACAUGCAGCUCAAACCCUCCAAAGAAUGUGUCUUUUUUCAUUAGCACCUUUCACAGAUUCCAGACUUCUAGCUUUGACUUUCCACCGGCUCUGUUUUUCCCUGCAGCCUGAAGCCCUACCCAGGUUAGAAUGCUAGCCAUCAGCCUAUACACACAGGACAGUCCUGUUGACAACAGCCCCUGAACUGAAAUAGUCCGUGGAGGAAGGGGGGGUAGUAGGGACCAUCUCACUGCACAAUAGGGCUGUUAGUUCUGGUUUGGUGUGCGGUAAAGAGACUACAAGUCAGGACAUGAAGUCUUGCAAUAAAGAGGAACUAAUGGAGGUAAUUAGGAAAGAACACCUGUCGGUGAGAAAUUGCAACCUCUAUGUUGGCCAUACCCAGCCAUCAGUCCCAAUUGUUCUUCACAACAAUGGAGAGCCUCUGGACUGUGAAUGCGAGCAAUGAUGGACGGCAAUAAAAUCCGCAAAUGAGUUUUCACAUUGUCUAAUAAAAUUCUAUGACUUUGUCAAUCUGUGUUGACACAGACCUACACAGGACUGGAUGAUAAAAGGUUGUAAUGGGAAACUAAUUGUCUCCUUGGGUUUACAUGUUUGUCUUUUAUUUCUAUGGUUCUAGAUACAAAUUCUGGCUUUCUUAUAGGUGACCGUGAGGAUGGGGGUCAAUUCUUGAGUCCCUAGCACUCAAAUAUCCUCUUGUCCAAACACUUCAAACCAAAUUAGAUGGGCAGCAAAAUAAAAGGCCCAACAUAUAGAUCUGAAUUUAGGGGUAUGUGGGAUCAGGACUGACUCUGAUAUGGCUCAGAACUGUAUAUUUUAGGUAAACCUAUAAAAAAAAAAAAAAAAGGUAGAUACAGUCAUGUUAAGUUGUAGAUUAGAGAUGGCUUUAUACCCGUUCUAAAGAUGCCACAGUGAAAAAGAAUGAGUAUUUUAUGGUCUAAAAUCAGGUUCAGAAGAUAGCAUUUUAAAAGUGUAGUCCAAUUCAUGUGUAACUUGGAAGGCAUAACCUGGAAAAGGGAAAAGGGGAAUGAAAUUGGAAAUCCACAAAAGAAAAUGGUUUUUAAUUCAUGUUGACUGGAUUUUUCAUGCUCAGAACAAAACACAGGUGAAACUAACAAAAUAAUUGUGGAGGGGAAGGUGGGAGGGAGGGGGGAAGGAAAUCAGUUUUUAUAUAUGAACACAAAUUCUAUGUGAUUUUAAAAAAAUGCUUACUACUCCACUCCCAUUUGCUAGAACAGGGACAGCAUAUAACAAAUGUUUAAUAAAUAUUUCUUGGAUAAACAAAAACUCAGAAGUCCCUGUCGUGGCUCAGCAG
Non-coding RNA from Sus scrofa (pig), 6371 nucleotides. The record is from RefSeq and is a predicted model, not a curated record. NCBI's taxonomy places the organism in Eukaryota, Metazoa, Chordata, Mammalia, Artiodactyla, Suidae.